Molecule: ribosomal RNA, 275 nt
Filed under: uncultured prokaryote
Description: partial 16S ribosomal RNA
Rfam family: Bacterial small subunit ribosomal RNA
Source: RNAcentral
UACGUAGGUGGCAAGCGUUGUCCGGAUUUACUGGGUGUAAAGGGGGCGCAGGCGGGAAGCUAAGUUGGAUGUGAAAUACCGGGGCUCAACUCCGGAGCUGCAUCCAAAACUGGUUUUCUUGAGUGGAGUAGAGGCAAGCGGAAUUCCGAGUGUAGCGGUGAAAUGCGUAGAUAUUCUGAGGAACACCAGUGGCGAAGGCGGCUUGCUGGGCUCUAACUGACGCUGAGGCCCGAAAGCGUGGGGAGCAAACAGGAUUAGAUACCCGGGUAGUCCCU